UACAGAGGGUGCAAACGUUGCUCGGAAUCAUUGGGCGUAAAGCGCACGUAGGCGGCCCGGUAAGUCGGAUGUGAAAGCCCUCGGCUCAACCGAGGAAGUGCAUUCGAAACUGCCAGGCUUGAAUAUGGAAGAGGGUCGCGGAAUUCCCGGUGUAGAGGUGAAAUUCGUAGAUAUCGGGAGGAACACCAGUGGCGAAGGCGGCGACCUGGGCAGAUACUGACGCUGAGGUACGAAAGCGUGGGGAGCAAACAGG
This 253-nucleotide ribosomal RNA is filed under the name uncultured bacterium. RNAcentral describes it as "partial 16S ribosomal RNA". It matches the Rfam family "Bacterial small subunit ribosomal RNA", at positions 524 to 776 of the family's 1533-position model. The record is from RNAcentral.